CCUACGGGAGGCAGCAGUCGGGAAUUUUGCGCAAUGGGGGAAACCCUGACGCAGCAAUACCGCGUGUGGGAUGAAGGCCUUCGGGUCGUAAACCACUUUUCUCGGGGACGAUAAUGACGGUACCCGAGGAAUAAGCCACGGCUAACUACGUGCCAGCAGCCGCGGUAAUACGUAGGUGGCAAGCGUUGUCCGGAUUUACUGGGCGUAAAGCGCGCGCAGGCGGUGAAUGAAGUCGAAAGUGAAAGCCCCGGGCUCAACUCGGGAACAGCUUUCGAAACCAGUUCACUUGAAGAUGGAAGAGGGAAGUGGAAUUCCGAGUGUAGCGGUGGAGUGCGCAGAUAUUCGGAGGAACACCAGAGGCGAAGGCGACUUCCUGGUCCAAUCUUGACGCUGAGGCGCGAAAGCUAGGGGAGCAAACAGGAUUAGAUAUCCUGGUAGUCCUAGCUGUAAACGAUGGAUACUAGGUGUUGGAGGUUUUAACCCCUCCGGUGCCGCAGCUAACGCAUUAAGUGCCCCGCCUGGGGAGUACGGCCGCAAGGCUAAAACUCAAAGGAAUUGACGG
RNAcentral lists this ribosomal RNA (562 nucleotides) under uncultured bacterium. RNAcentral's name for it is "bacterial SSU rRNA". It matches the Rfam family "Bacterial small subunit ribosomal RNA", at positions 338 to 916 of the family's 1533-position model. The record is from RNAcentral.